This is a long non-coding RNA of Temnothorax curvispinosus, 401 nucleotides long. RefSeq lists it as uncharacterized. Lineage: Eukaryota; Metazoa; Arthropoda; Insecta; Hymenoptera; Formicidae. The transcript is spliced from 3 exons. The record is from RefSeq and is a predicted model, not a curated record.
AUAAAACAGUGGAAAUUGCUGGCCGUAUAAUUGUCCUCGUACACUCGCCGACAGAAAGGUUGUCCCAAAGUAACGUGUUACAUCGAGGUUAGAAAUCAAGAGUUUGAAUAAAGAAUAAAGAUGGUAAAAGUGUGUGAGGUAUUUGGGUGUACAACAACCGAAAAAGAAAGACUAUCUAUGCAUAAAUUUCCUAAGAAUGUGGAACAUCGAAAUGCGUGGGUAGCUUGGAUUAACCGUCUCGGGUGGAGUCUGAAAUGUAAUAGCAGAGUUUGUGAGUUGCACUUUGUUCCUGAGAACUAUGUGGAGCACACAAGAGGAAAUGGAAUUCUUCGAAGGCUGAAAACAUCUGCUAUUCCCUCAUUGCAAAUAGAGGAAAUUCAAGACAGUGAAAAUCAUUGUAA